This 297-nucleotide ribosomal RNA is filed under the name Triticum aestivum (bread wheat). RNAcentral describes it as "partial small subunit ribosomal RNA". The record is from RNAcentral. Lineage: Eukaryota; Viridiplantae; Streptophyta; Magnoliopsida; Poales; Poaceae.
AUGCGGACCUCGCCGCCGUCCAUGGCCUCCCCCACGCCCUCCUCCUCUCGCCCCUCCCCUUCCCUCACCAGAAAUGAGAGAAGAACCCGAGGGAGGGAGAUCCAACGCGAUCCAGCCUUGGUCUCCGCUGCCUCGGCCUCACGCCUCGCCGAAGCAGCUCUGCCAUCGACCGAAGUCCCGCAGGUCGACGUGUUCCCCCGCUCUUCUUCCUCCCUCUAUUUGUGUCUCCCUUUUUUUCUCUCAAGUCUCAAUCCCCUCUGUACUUCUCUGUGCAAGCAGGCCGCCAUGGACGCCUGA